This 964-nucleotide long non-coding RNA is filed under the name Gallus gallus (chicken). Its description in RNAcentral is "lncRNA (ENSGALG00010009888.1)". Lineage: Eukaryota; Metazoa; Chordata; Aves; Galliformes; Phasianidae. The record is from RNAcentral.
GACGCUUUGAUGCCUCAUGCACCUCACAGAAAUUCAGACCCAGCUUUUUUGCCUUCUUUCAGCUGCUCUUCCUGAGACCAAGUUAGAAGUUGGGAGUGGGAAAUCCUUCACUGCCUAAAGUCCAGGAGGAGCCCUGCACCAUCUCUCUCUCACCUCACCCAGCAGACUAUGAAAUCGUGAGGCUGUGGAAGUGUGUGUACAGUGGGAUCAGAUCUGGAGCGCAGCCAGCCACCAACACAAAAAUGAGAGGCAAUAUCUGAACCUAUACUUCACAAAAAUAUUUCUGGUCUUGCAAAACACAUGGAGGCACUUACUAUUUUAAAUCUCUGCCUACAGCAAGAGUGUAAGAAAUACAAAUGAAGAUAACAGCUACCACAGACAGCAGCUCUGAUAGGCUCCUUCUGUUCUCAGUAGUAUCCAGAUUGUUUUCUUCAUGCACCAAUCCCAGAAUUCCCAGAAUUCCUCUUUUGGAGAAUCAAAGACGACUUUAGUGGAUUGGCUUUGGCUCACGGAAAAAGGAAGAAGUGACUUGAAAACCUUUUGCAAAAUAUACGGUGGCCCACUGCUUUUCAUUGUCACCUGUCACUCUGCAUGAGCAAGGCUGCCCUGCCCAGCACGAUGCUGACCCUGACAAUACGGAUGCUCUCCUUUGCAGCUGGGAGGCACGGAAGUGGCCAAACCUCUCAGGGCUGUUUGAAAUUCCCGAAGGUAAUCUCAUUCAUAUUUGUGGAACAAAUCCAGUUACAGAUCUUCCAUAACGAAGAAAGAAAGCUACAGGAAUUGCCGACUGUGUAUGUCAAACUGCUGCCAGACCCGUGUGUGGUAACGCAUUUAUCACAUUCAGAAAAGCAUUUCAAUAAACAACAACAGCAGCAGCAACAGGAGAUGGAUGUCCUAAGACAGAGAAUAGCACAUUCAGCAGGAAAGGAGGUUAAGUGUUUUUCAUUCAGGAAUUCAUAAUGAG